GGCGUCCUCAAAUGCCGUUGCAGUCACCAAUACGCGCAGCGCACAUUGCGACAGUCUAAUCCGUAGACGCACCGAAGGGAUCCUGUCUGUUGGCUAAAGCUUACUGACGCUGCAUUUAAAGCACGGGAGAAUAAGCGUCCCCUCCGCUUGUUUGAUGACAGCGAGUGUCCUCAUUGUCUCGGUUGGCCCUUGUUACCUCGUUUCUGGAAGAGUCUGUGGAGCAAGAGGUCGGGCUCCUGGGUGAACGCCACCGUUCCGGUCACUGUAGAACAGUUGAGGGCGUUGACUUUGGCUCUUUGGGGUCUUUGGGAGCCCAGCCCGAGGGCAUUCAGGCAGAUGCCGGGGGUCAUUGGCAUGUGAAAGAGGAUCACUGGAUGCAGGACAACAACAGUACUGUGGUGUGUACAUUCAGGGGGGCAGAUUUAUGUAGAGAUUGAAAGGACUGUAGAAAGACAGAUUGAAGUGAGGGACUUAUGCACACACAUAUGCAACUUUCUAUUACAAAUAAAAAUAACCUCCAAUAAUAAUUGCGUUAUGAAACACCAUUCCUGCUUCCACUUAUCUUUACGGGAAAAAAAAUCAGGAUUAAAUACAAUAAAAUAUUUUACGUUAACCCCCCAUGGCAAAAAAUUAUGAAAUCACCACACGGAUGUUCACCCAAAGUUCUGACUUUAUAACAAAUGAACAAAAUCACAGAUAUGACACAAAACUAUUUUUGCUUGAUAAUUCAACACUUUAUGUGAAUCAUACAGUAACUCAAAAUUUUUUAUUAAAACAUUUUAAUAAAUGGAAAAUUGUUUUCCAUAUCAAGUAGAGGAAAAAAUUAUGGAAUCCGCUUGUAAUUUGCAUUUCUGAAAUAAAUACUGGAACAUAUCUAAAAAGCGAAUUAGUCAGCAGUUAACAAUGUAGAGUUCACAGUAGUUAAAACUGAUGUUAAAAUAGCUAAAAUAGCCAACAUCAACACAUAAAACGAACAGGGGAGACGGCUCGCCACACACACAGGCGCCAUCUUGAUUCUUCAAGGUUAAGUAUGUAAUCUAGUUAAUUAUGAGUGCUUGCAGACCCUAACGAGCUGUUGGACUUGGCUAAUUGAAAGGAAACAUGGCCCCAACAAGAGAGCUGUCGGUUGAAACAAUGGAAAAAGAUUAUAAAACUCCUUUAAGAAGGAAAUCCAUCACGGAGUGUGGCAAAAGAUUGUGGAUGUUCCCAGUCAGCUGUUUCUAAAAUUUGGUGCAAGUAUAAACAAAAUGGAAAGGUUACACAUGGACAACAUACAGGCAAGCUAAGAAAGACCUCAAAGCAUCAGGUUAGAAAAGCAAUUUGCCUUUGAAAGAGAAAAUGCACAACGAAAAACAAAUGGGCGGAAACAGGAGUCAAUGCGUGUGACAGAACUGUACGAAAUCGGCUGAAUGAAAUGGGAUUUAAAUAUAGAAAAGCCAAACAAAAAACAGCAUGAACAACUAAACAGAAGAAAACAGUGGGCUAAAGAGAAGCAGGCAUGGAGUGUGGAUGAUUGGAUGAAAGUGAUAUUUUGUGAUUAAUCACAAAUCUGCAUUGGACAGGGAGAUAAUGCUGGAACUUUUGUCUGGUGCCGUUCCAAUGAAAUGUAUAAAGAUGACCUCCUGAAGAAAACAACUAAAUUUCCGAACUCAUUCACGGUAUGAGGUUGCAUGUCAGGUAAAGGACCAGGGGAAAUGGCAAUGCUUACCUCAACAGUCAAUGCACAAGUGCACACUGAAAUUUUGGACACUUUUCUCAAAAGAAAUGAAAAGAGCAAUGAAAUCAAUAGAAAAGAUGUUUGCUGAUAAUAAAGUAAUUGUUUAGGAUGAUAAUGCAUCUUGCCACAGAGCACAGUGUUAAAGCUUUUCUUCAGGAAAGGCAUAUCAGCUCAAUGACAUGGCCAGCAAAAAGUCUGAAUCUCAAUCUGAUUUUAAAUUUAUGGUGGAAAUUGAAAAAACUGGUCCAUGACAAGGCUCCAUCUUGCAAAGCUGAUCUGUCAACAAUUAUUCGACAAAGUUGGAACCAACUUGAUGAAGAAAAUUGUUUUUCAUUAGUGAAAUCCAUGCCCCCAAAGAACUCAAGCCGUCAUAAAAGCAAGAGGAGGAGCAACAAAGUCCUAACUCUGUUUUGGGAGAUUAGUCCAUAUUUUUUUCCUCUACUUGAUAUGGAAAAAUGUUUUCAUUCAUUUAAAGUUUAUUAUCUUUAUUUAUUUAUUUUUGGGGGGUAUGUUUCACAUUACCAGAAUGUUUAAUUACUAAUCAAAUAUUGUUUUGAUUAGUAAUUAAAAAUUAGUAAUUAAUGUGUAAUAUCGGUCAUUUGUUGUAUUGUAAAAAAUUUGGGUAAACAACAUCUAAAUGUGGUGAUUCCAUCAUUUUUGCCAGGGGUUGUAAAACCUGCGUAACACAAAUUUUGAAACAAUGUUGUUUGACUCUUCAAAUUUACUAAAAAAUCUCAGGCAAAUAAAACAAUUUCAAGUAUGAACAAACAAAAAGACACUGAAAUAGAUUUUUUUUUUUCUUGUUCUUUCACAAUGUGCCCUUCUGUUUUACUUUCUAGUAGCACAUUGUCAACUAUUGUUCAGAUUUUACUCAAGGGCAUACAGUGUAAACAAGGCUGUUUUACUCUUGGCUGACUGUAGCUUUGAAGUGCAGUACUUGGUGUGCAACAAUGCAAGAAUUGGUUUAAUAAAUGCAUUUUAUAGCUGAAGUUUUGGUUGAGUUUGCGACUCCUGACUGGGAGGCUUUUGUUCUAAAGAUUUUUAUUUAUUUAUUUUUCCUCAAUUUUUGGAUGACGUCCUAUACUGACGUCAUGUUUUUUUUCCCUCUCCCUCUUAUUCUUACCAGUCUCUUCUUAAAAUUCCUGGCCUUUACAUCUUUCGUUUGUUUUUGCCCUUCUGUUCUCUCUCCCCAUCUGUCUUUUACAGGUUUAGAUUCUGUUGUCUUCUCUUCUUUUUUACUCCAUUCCUCAUCUUUAUUUUCUUCAGCUCUUUUUCUUUUCAGCUCUCCAUCUGGGCCUGAUUAAGUGAGUGAGUGAAUCAUAUCAAUCAGAAUUCAUUUGUGCAUGAGCCAUACCUGUAUUGAUCUGCUGUUGUUAAAUCAACAUUCCUGACUGCCAUUUCUGUCUCUGCCUUGUAUUCCUGACAGCAACUGUGCAGUCGAAGGAAAAGAUCUUCCAAGAUGUCUGAAGAGUCACGCACCAAGAACGAACAUAGAGAAACUGGCAUUUCUUUUGGCCUUUAAUCAAACUGUAGUAGCAGUUCUAUAAAAGGCUGUACAAUACUACACAUUAAAUACAUAUUACCUAUAUGAAAAUGUGCAUUUAAAACUGCAAAAAGAAAUAAAAUGGCAAUUAAAGAAAUAAUAUUAA
This is a long non-coding RNA of Carassius gibelio (silver crucian carp), 3366 nucleotides long. RefSeq lists it as uncharacterized. Lineage: Eukaryota; Metazoa; Chordata; Actinopteri; Cypriniformes; Cyprinidae. The transcript has 2 exons. The record is from RefSeq and is a predicted model, not a curated record.